CGGUAAUACGUAGGGGGCAAGCGUUGUCCGGAUUUACUGGGUGUAAAGGGCGCGCAGGCGGAUUGACAAGUCAGAGGUGAAAUCCUGCAGCUUAACUGCAGAACUGCCUUUGAAACUGUCAAUCUUGAGUACGGAAGAGAGAGACGGAAUUCCAGGUGUAGUGGUGAAAUACGUAGAUAUCUGGAAGAACACCAGUUGCGAAGGCGGUCUCUUGGUCCGUUACUGACGCUCAGGCGCGAAAGCGUGGGUAGCAAACAGGAUUAGAUACCCUGGUAGUCCACGCUGUAAACGAUGAAUACUAGGUGUUGGAUCGCAAGAUUCAGUGCCGCAGCUAACGCAUUAAGUAUUCCACCUGGGGAGUACGAUCGCAAGGUUGAA
This 378-nucleotide ribosomal RNA is filed under the name uncultured bacterium. RNAcentral describes it as "bacterial SSU rRNA". It matches the Rfam family "Bacterial small subunit ribosomal RNA", at positions 518 to 898 of the family's 1533-position model. The record is from RNAcentral.